UCACUAUGACCCUUAUCUCUCAUAAGGAAUAUCUUCUUUAUUUUCUCUGUAAGCAUACCCAUGUAUCUUUCAGGAGGUUAGGAGAUCUUGCUAAAUCUAUGAGGUGGUAGAAGAACAUCAACUACUAGCUCAUGAAUAAUGAGUUCUUGAGGAUCCAUAAUGCUUUGCUCUUCAAAAACCUUCUCUUCGAGCUCAACUAACCUCCCACUGCCACCAUC
This 218-nucleotide long non-coding RNA is filed under the name Elaeis guineensis (African oil palm). RNAcentral describes it as "long non-coding RNA (EGUI_LNC068131)". The record is from RNAcentral. Lineage: Eukaryota; Viridiplantae; Streptophyta; Magnoliopsida; Arecales; Arecaceae.